This 492-nucleotide ribosomal RNA is filed under the name uncultured bacterium. RNAcentral's name for it is "partial 16S ribosomal RNA". It matches the Rfam family "Bacterial small subunit ribosomal RNA", at positions 29 to 507 of the family's 1533-position model. The record is from RNAcentral.
AGUGAACGCUGGCGGUAGGCCUAACACAUGCAAGUCGAACGGCAGCACAGUAAGAGCUUGCUCUUACGGGUGGCGAGUGGCGGACGGGUGAGGAAUACAUCGGAAUCUACUUUUUCGUGGGGGAUAACGUAGGGAAACUUACGCUAAUACCGCAUACGACCUACGGGUGAAAGCAGGGGAUCUUCGGACCUUGCGCGAUUGAAUGAGCCGAUGUCGGACUAGCUAGUUGGCGGGGUAAAGGCCCACCAAGGCGACGAUCCGUAGCUGGUCUGAGAGGAUGAUCAGCCACACUGGAACUGAGACACGGUCCAGACUCCUACGGGAGGCAGCAGUGGGGAAUAUUGGACAAUGGGCGCAAGCCUGAUCCAGCCAUACCGCGUGGGUGAAGAAGGCCUUCGGGUUGUAAAGCCCUUUUGUUGGGAAAGAAAAGCAGCAGGUUAAUACCCCGCUGUUCUGACGGUGCCCAAAGAAUAAGCACCGGCUAACUUCGUG